UUAAAUUGAGAGUUUGAUCCUGGCUCAGGACGAACGCUGGCGGCGUGCCUAAUACAUGCAAGUCGAACGAAACUUUCUUACACCGAAUGCUUGCAUUCAUCGUAAGAAGUUGAGUGGCGGACGGGUGAGUAACACGUGGGUAACCUGCCUAAAAGAAGGGGAUAACACUUGGAAACAGGUGCUAAUACCGUAUAUCUCUAAGGAUCGCAUGAUCCUUAGAUGAAAGAUGGUUCUGCUAUCACUUUUAGAUGGACCCGCGG
This 260-nucleotide ribosomal RNA is filed under the name Ligilactobacillus salivarius. Its description in RNAcentral is "partial 16S ribosomal RNA". It matches the Rfam family "Bacterial small subunit ribosomal RNA", at positions 1 to 236 of the family's 1533-position model. The record is from RNAcentral. Lineage: Bacteria; Bacillati; Bacillota; Bacilli; Lactobacillales; Lactobacillaceae.